UGGCGGACGGGUGAGUAACGCGUGGGUAACCUGCCCUGUACAGGGGGAUAACAGUUAGAAAUGACUGCUAACACCGCAUAAGCGCACGGUAAGGCAUCUUAGUGUGUGAAAAUAUUAAAUAGGUACAGGAUGGGCCCGCGUCUGAUUAGCCAGUUGGCAGGGUAACGGCCUACCAAAGCGACGAUCAGUAGCCGGCUUGAGAGAGUGAACGGCCACAUUGGGACUGAGACACGGCCCAAACUCCUACGGAAGGCAGCAG
RNAcentral lists this ribosomal RNA (259 nucleotides) under uncultured bacterium. Its description in RNAcentral is "partial 16S ribosomal RNA". It matches the Rfam family "Bacterial small subunit ribosomal RNA", at positions 96 to 354 of the family's 1533-position model. The record is from RNAcentral.